GUGCCUGGCUGCCCACCGGGUCUCUGACCUGGACCUCGCUGUCGCUGGCCCCUGAAAUCCAUCACUUUGGUCGGCUGUUCUGUGACGCCGCAACAAGGAGCCACCUGGGUACUGGGCCUUCAAGAGGAGGGACGCGGGAAUCGCGUCCAGGCCAACUCUCGAGAGGGUUUCACCCCUGCCCAGUGCGGGCACUGCCCGCUCCCUUCCGUCCCCGGGCCUCGCAGGUCCCCGGGGGUACUGCCCAUCUCCACUUACCUUUCUAGGCUCUUUGGACCCUUCAGGGUUCGCGGAUCGCAGAGAUGUGUCCGCCAAGAUCUCUUCUUUGGUCCGUAAACAACUUCAUUCUCAAGGAGGCAGCUCUGGCCUCUCAGCAGGAGCUGGGGAGGAGUGACUGAAUAACCACAGGAUUUAGUCUUGAUGGCAGAAUCCCAGAAGCCAAAUCCACGUGGUGAAUAAGCUGCUGAUCUUUCAGAGCACACAUCCCCUGGAGAAUCUUCCCAAUGCUAAUAUGAAAGUUUACAACCAUAAUCCAUCAUCAGGCCCAAAUAUAUUACUUACUGAAUAAAUACACAAGUUACAAGCAACA
This is a long non-coding RNA of Chlorocebus sabaeus (green monkey), 586 nucleotides long. RefSeq lists it as uncharacterized. Lineage: Eukaryota; Metazoa; Chordata; Mammalia; Primates; Cercopithecidae. The record is from RefSeq and is a predicted model, not a curated record.